AGGUUACUGCUAUCGGUGUUCGCCUAAGCCAUGCGAGUCAUAUGUUCUUCGUGAACAUGGCGUACUGCUCAGUAACACGUGGAUAACCUGCCCUUGGGUCCGGCAUAACCCCGGGAAACUGGGGAUAAUUCCGGAUAACGCACAUAUGCUGGAAUGCUUUAUGCGUCAAAUGGAUUCGUCCGCCCAAGGAUGGGUCUGCGGCCUAUCAGGUAGUAGUGGGUGUAAUGCACCUACUAGCCUACGACGGGUACGGGUUGUGAGAGCAAGAGCCCGGAGAUGGAUUCUGAGACAUGAAUCCAGGCCCUACGGGGCGCAGCAGGCGCGAAAACUUUACAAUGCGGGAAACCGUGAUAAGGGGACACCGAGUGCCAGCAUCAUAUGCUGGCUGUCCGGGUGUGUAAAAUACACCUGUUAGCAAGGGCCGGGCAAGACCGGUGCCAGCCGCCGCGGUAACACCGGCGGCCCGAGUGGUGAUCGUGAUUAUUGGGUCUAAAGGGUCCGUAGCCGGUUUGGUCAGUCCUCCGGGAAAUCUGACGGCUUAACCGUUAGGCUUUCGGGGGAUACUGCCAGACUUGGAACCGGGAGAGGUAAGAGGUACUACAGGGGUAGGAGUGAAAUCUUGUAAUCCCUGUGGGACCACCUGUGGCGAAGGCGUCUUACCAGAACGGGUUCGACGGUGAGGGACGAAAGCUGGGGGCACGAACCGGAUUAGAUACCCGGGUAGUCCCAGCCGUAAACGAUGCUCGCUAGGUGUCAGGCAUGGCGCGACCGUGUCUGGUGCCGCAGGGAAGCCGUGAAGCGAGCCACCUGGGAAGUACGGCCGCAAGGCUGAAACUUAA
This 839-nucleotide ribosomal RNA is filed under the name uncultured archaeon. RNAcentral describes it as "bacterial SSU rRNA". It matches the Rfam family "Archaeal small subunit ribosomal RNA", at positions 21 to 859 of the family's 1478-position model. The record is from RNAcentral.